RNAcentral lists this ribosomal RNA (468 nucleotides) under uncultured bacterium. Its description in RNAcentral is "partial 16S ribosomal RNA". It matches the Rfam family "Bacterial small subunit ribosomal RNA", at positions 28 to 507 of the family's 1533-position model. The record is from RNAcentral.
GACGAACGCUGGCGGCGUGCUUAACACAUGCAAGUCGAACGGAAAGGCCCUGCUUUUGUGGGGUGCUCGAGUGGCGAACGGGUGAGUAACACGUGAGUAACCUGCCCUUGACUUUGGGAUAACUUCAGGAAACUGGGGCUAAUACCGGAUAGGAGCGCCUGCUGCAUGGUGGGGGUUGGAAAGUUUCGGCGGUUGGGGAUGGACUCGGGGCUUAUCAGCUUGUUGGUGGGGUAGUGGCUUACCAAGGCUUUGACGGGUAGCCGGCCUGAGAGGGUGACCGGCCACAUUGGGACUGAGAUACGGCCCAGACUCCUACGGGAGGAAGCAGUGGGGAAUAUUGCACAAUGGGCGGAAGCCUGAUGCAGCAACGCCGCGUGCGGGAUGACGGCCUUCGGGUUGUAAACCGCUUUCGCCUGUGACGAAGCGUGAGUGACGGUAAUGGGUAAAGAAGCACCGGCUAACUACGUG